UGGGGAAUAUUGGGCAAUGGGCGAAAGCCUGACCCAGCAACGCCGCGUGAGGGAGGAAGGUUUUCGGAUUGUAAACCUCUGUCCUCAGGGAAGAAGAAAGUGACGGUACCUGAGGAGGAAGCCCCGGCUAACUACGUGCCAGCAGCCGCGGUAAUACAUAGGGGGCAAGCGUUGUCCGGAAUCACUGGGCGUAAAGGGAGCGUAGGCGGAUGUUUAAGUUAAGUGUGAAAGCCUGGGGCUUAACUCCAGAAAUGCACUUAAUACUGGACAACUAGAGUGUGGGAGAGGUAAGUGGAAUUCCUAGUGUAGCGGUAAAAUGCGUAGAGAUUAGGAGGAACACCAGAGGCGAAGGCGGCUUACUGGACCACAACUGACGCUGAGGCUCGAAAGCGGGGGGAGCAAAC
This 404-nucleotide ribosomal RNA is filed under the name uncultured bacterium. RNAcentral describes it as "bacterial SSU rRNA". It matches the Rfam family "Bacterial small subunit ribosomal RNA", at positions 355 to 773 of the family's 1533-position model. The record is from RNAcentral.